Molecule: long non-coding RNA, 1646 nt
Filed under: Malus domestica (apple)
Lineage: Eukaryota; Viridiplantae; Streptophyta; Magnoliopsida; Rosales; Rosaceae
Description: long non-coding RNA (MDOM_LNC016803)
Source: RNAcentral
UUUCACUGUUUUUAAGUGUUUUUAGUGUGUUUUGAAGUGUUUUAAUGUGUUUUGAAAGAAAAACACGAAAAUUUGAAAAAAAAUAGAAAAUGUUUUGAAAAACCCAAAAAUAGUCGUUUUUGUGUUUGUUUGUGCCUUAGGGUACCUUCCAACACAAUGAUGAGGAUUUGGUUUUUAAUUGCAUGACUAUUAAAGAAAGCUACAAACAUGGGUGGAAGUCUGAUAUGCUCUUUGGUUAAUGCUUGGUUGUAGUUGACGUUUACGAAUUCACAUGUAAUCACAAAAGAAGAAAAAAAAAUCAGUUUUUGUAAUAUGCUUGAAGGAAGGAACUCAAACUAACGCUACAACCCUGAGAGACUUGAGCUUAUUCCUUGUUUGGAGAGUUAUUAAUCUGUGAAUUCUUGUUUUCUAAAGUCGUUGCAUGAUCUCAUUAUUUCUUUGCUUGGUUGCUACUUAGAAUGCGUUUUUCAUCAUUUAAGUUCCAAAUACUAGAACGCAUGCCCGUUUCAUUCAAAGCUUAAAAUUGAGUGCAUAACAUAUAACAAGAUGAAAUUGUUUAGUUACCACCAUAGCCAAAAAGCCUUAAUCCCUUGCAUAUGUAUUGUAGGUUUAACCCCAUGAGCCUUAUUUAGCCUAUUUUCUUUGUUAGCCACAUUAUCCUUACCUAGCCUAGAAUAGGACUAUCCGUACCUUUGUUCUUGAAGCAUAGUGAAGCAUGACUUAGAGGGAAUUCUUUUUUAUCAACAUUUUGUAGAAAACAAGUGUGGGGGAAUGUUAUUUCCAAAGAAAGGAAAGGAAGAAAAAAAGAAAAAAAAACGUGAAAAAGGAAGAAAGAAAAAAAGAAGAAGAAAAAGAGUUCAAAAUAAGUGAGAAUGAGAUCACAAGUAUUGGUUGUUGAAGAAAGGGUCCAAAAGUUUGAAUUCGGCCCUAAGUGUUAUGUGAAUCUCCCAUGGGUGUUUAAAGUUAGUGAUGCAUUCAAAAGUGAAUUCUAAGUGUUGAUUUCAUUAUUUUUGCUUACCACUGCUUUAGAACCUUUGUUUAUCCUUAACCUUUCUUUGUUAGCCAAUACCCUUAGCCCCAUUACAACCCUUAAACUUCUCUCUUGGUUGUUGUGUGUUUCAAUUUGUGGAGUUUGAAAUUGGUACGAGCAUAUGGAAUCCCUGGUUCUCGCUUCUAAGUAGUGGCAUUCCGUUCAUGAGAUCAUGUAUAUGUUAUAUUAAUAAUUCCAGAAAGUGCCUUCUUUGGUUAUAAUAUAUGUGAGUUCUAGUCUACAUGUUUACAUCAAUCUUCUCACAUAUACCUAGUAUAGGGAGUGUAGUUAGAAAAUCUGUGUGAAAAUAGAGAGUAUAUCCUGUGAGGAAUUGAGGGAAUUCUCUAAGGCAUGUUACUACAAUCAAAACAUUGUUUUAAUUGAUUAAAUGCGAGCUAGUGAGUGGUGACUGCGAUUAAGUAUGUGCUCAAGGGUAAGGAUAGCUAAAACAUAUGGGAGUAGUGAUUUUUAACAUGUCAUAUUUCAUUGGAAAUCCCUGAGGCAAACGUUGGAAGGUCUAGGUUAUGUUAUGUUUUGUUUGUUUUGUUUGUUUCAUUUUGCUCGAGGACUGGCAAAAGCUAAGUGUGGGGAAAUUUGAUAGGAGCAUAUUUAUGCG